Molecule: ribosomal RNA, 207 nt
Filed under: uncultured bacterium
Lineage: Bacteria
Description: partial 16S ribosomal RNA
Rfam family: Bacterial small subunit ribosomal RNA
Source: RNAcentral
CACGCAGGCGGUUUGUUAAGCUAGAUGUGAAAGCCCCGGGCUCAACCUGGGAUGGUCAUUUAGAACUGGCAGACUAGAGUUUUGGAGAGGGGAGUGGAAUUCCAGGUGUAGCGGUGAAAUGCGUAGAUAUCUGGAGGAACAUCAGUGGCGAAGGCGACCCUCUGGCCAAAGACUGACGCUCAUGUGCGAAAGUGUGGGUAGCGAACA